UGACUUUACUGACAGGCGGGAACACCUAGCUGUUGGCUAGGAGCAGGGGUGGAUCUACAGGGGUGGCAUAGAGUGGCAAGUGCCACCCUAAAACACAGCCUUGCCACCCCUGUUGCCACCCCAGUUGGAAGGAUUUAAUUCAAAGAAAAGUUAUGCCUCAUCGGACACUUGUAUGAAUUACAGACUGCAGUGAGUGAAUGCAGCACGAGACGACGCGACAUUACCCCCCCCCCCUCCAGCACCCCGGGGCAGGUUUCAUUUGAACAACACAGCGGCGCGAAGAGACUGUCAAGAAAUGGAAGAAUAAUGAAGGCGCAGGCCUAAAAGAGUUAAAUAAGUUUGGAUUUAAAAGGUGACACGCUGCAGGCUGGUGGUUGAAACAGACAAAAUGAAGAGGAAAGACAUCAGCAGUUUUUUCUCACCAAAGACCAAGGUGAAAAAAAUAAAGUCUGAGCAACUGGGCAAGGUAGAUGGAGGAGAUGACCAGGGACAAGACCAGAAGAGGAGGAGAAGAGAAGUGUCAGUGACAACAUGGAAGGCCAAGGUGAUCAGAGACAGGAAGAGAUGGAAGGAGAAAAACACAGUGAUGAAGAGAUGGAAGAGGGACAGCAUUGUCAGAGAGACAAGAAGACAACAUACCUUUUCCAGACAGUGAGAGGGAUAAGACAGAGUCAUCACAGAUGAUCUGCAGUCGAGCUGGUCCACAGGGUAUGAAAGUUACAACUAAAUAAGAACCACAAAUGACAUCAUUUAACACAGCCUGAUCUUUAAACAUAUAGGAAACCAAUAACAGCCAGUGUUUCCCCUACCUGUUCAUUACAGUUGCGUUUAAAUCUGAACAUUAAAGGAAAAAUAUUUAAA
Molecule: long non-coding RNA, 861 nt
Organism: Notolabrus celidotus (New Zealand spotty)
Lineage: Eukaryota; Metazoa; Chordata; Actinopteri; Labriformes; Labridae
Exons: 3
Source: RefSeq, a predicted model, not a curated record